RNAcentral lists this unclassified non-coding RNA (318 nucleotides) under uncultured fungus. Its description in RNAcentral is "partial contains 5.8S ribosomal RNA and internal transcribed spacer 2". The stretch from base 1 to 133 matches the Rfam family "5.8S ribosomal RNA", at positions 22 to 154 of the family's 154-position model. Lineage: Eukaryota; Fungi. The record is from RNAcentral.
UGGUUCUGGCAUNGAUGAAGAACGCAGCGAAAUGCGAUAAGUAAUGUGAAUUGCAGAAUUCAGUGAAUCAUCGAAUCUUUGAACGCACAUUGCACCCCUUAGUAUUCUGGGGGGUAUGCCUGUUCGAGCGUCAUCAACAACCCUCAAGCACUGCUUGGCGUUGGGCCUCAUCGCCACGGUGAACCCUAAAAUCAGUGGCGGUGCCAUUCGGUUCCCAGCGUAGUAAACUCCCUCGCUGCGGAAGUCCUAAUGUGCUCCUGCCAGCAACCCCUAAAAUUCUCAAGGUUUGACCUCGGAUCAGGUAGGGAUACCCGCUGA